Molecule: ribosomal RNA, 528 nt
Filed under: uncultured bacterium
Lineage: Bacteria
Description: bacterial SSU rRNA
Rfam family: Bacterial small subunit ribosomal RNA
Source: RNAcentral
AAUAGAUACCCAGGUAGUCCACGCCGUAAACGAUGAGUGCUAAGUGUUAGAGGGUUUCCGCCCUUUAGUGCUGAAGUUAACGCAUUAAGCACUCCGCCUGGGGAGUACGGCCGCAAGGCUGAAACUCAAAGGAAUUGACGGGGGCCCGCACAAGCGGUGGAGCAUGUGGUUUAAUUCGAAGCAACGCGAAGAACCUUACCAGGUCUUGACAUCCUCUGACAACCCUAGAGAUAGGGCUUCUCCUUCGGGAGCAGAGUGACAGGUGGUGCAUGGUUGUCGUCAGCUCGUGUCGUGAGAUGUUGGGUUAAGUCCCGCAACGAGCGCAACCCUUGAUCUUAGUUGCCAUCAUUCAGUUGGGCACUCUAAGGUGACUGCCGGUGACAAACCGGAGGAAGGUGGGGAUGACGUCAAAUCAUCAUGCCCCUUAUGACCUGGGCUACACACGUGCUACAAUGGACGGUACAAAGAGCUGCAAGACCGCGAGGUGGAGCUAAUCUCAUAAAAACCGUUCUCAGUUCGGAUUGUAGG